GAGUGAAGAGGGAAGAGCUCAUCAUUGGAAUCUGGCGGUGUUGCACCGUCCGAGUUGUAGAUGAGGAGUGGUUCAUCUGGACUGCAUGGCGUCCAAGUACAAUAGGCCGUCAGUGGGACAUCAUAGAGGGUGACAAUCCCGUCCUUGAUGCCAAUGUGCAAGUCCAUUACGAUGACCAUCUCAGAGAGUCGAGCAGUUUGGGAUUUGCUGCUUAAACAUGGGAGGUAGAUUCCUUCUAAAGCUAAAUACAGGCAAGAGACCGAUAGAGAACAAGUACCGCAAGGGAAAGAUGAAAUAGCACUCUGUGAAGGGAGUCAAAAGGCGUGAAAUUGUUGCGAGAGAAGCGAUUCAAGUCAGCGUAGCUAGGCCCAUUAAGCCUCUUUGCGCUUUGGACUAGCUUUGCCAGCGGUCUUGUCCUUAGAGACUUGACUUGUAUGUCCAGCCUGGUAUGCACAGGUAGCCCUCCGGGGUCAGUGACAUGGCUGGUGGAAUGGCUUGCAAUCGACCCGUCUUGAAACACGGACCAAGGAGUCUAACAUGUAUGCGAGUAUAAGGGUGGCAAACCCGUAUGCGCAAUGAAAGUGAUUUUCGGUGAUUGAGAAUGGCCUGAUGACCAGACAAGCAAUAUAUGUCCCUCGUACGGCCAUUGCCCAAGUUCCGUGGUAGAUCCCACGAACAUGGAGUUGGAGCAUACAUGCUAGGACCCGAAAGAUGGUGAACUAUGCCUGGACAAAGCGAAGCCAAAGGAAACUCUGGUGGAGGCUUGUAGCGAUUCUGACGUGCAAAUCGAUCGUC
This 795-nucleotide ribosomal RNA is filed under the name Cantharellus ferruginascens. RNAcentral's name for it is "eukaryotic LSU rRNA". It matches the Rfam family "Eukaryotic large subunit ribosomal RNA", at positions 91 to 906 of the family's 3401-position model. The record is from RNAcentral. Lineage: Eukaryota; Fungi; Basidiomycota; Agaricomycetes; Cantharellales; Hydnaceae.